GCCUGGAUAGCUCAGUUGGUUAGGGCGUGGUGCUGGUAAUGCCAAGGUUGCGGGUUUGACCACCAUAUGGGACA
Podarcis lilfordi (Lilford's wall lizard) is the source of this 74-nucleotide non-coding RNA. The record is from the annotation of a GenBank genome assembly. Lineage: Eukaryota; Metazoa; Chordata; Lepidosauria; Squamata; Lacertidae.